Molecule: RNA transcript, 3040 nt
Organism: Oncorhynchus nerka (sockeye salmon)
Lineage: Eukaryota; Metazoa; Chordata; Actinopteri; Salmoniformes; Salmonidae
Gene name: SH3 domain-binding protein 5-like
Exons: 10
Source: RefSeq, a predicted model, not a curated record
CCGAGCUCUCAUUCCACAGCUGUUUCGCGCUUUCUCCUCUCAUUAAACUCACUCUCCCCGUCGCUGUCUCUGUCCGGGAAGGUUGCUUUCAGCAAAACCGCCUGUUGGGAUUCAUUUCAGUGGUGAGCUACAAACAGACACGCUUUCCUGCUGUUUUCUGUCUAUCCCGGACGUCUGCAGUAUAUUCGUGUGUUUGCGAGCCUGCUGUGUGUUUAUUCUAUUAUAACGGAAUACACUCGAAUCUUCUCCCUGUGAAGAAAGAGGCGACGGACCGCCUGAACUCAACUAGCCGCUAAAGUCUCAUCUCGGUGGGGGUCUUGUUUUGUGUUUAACGGAGGACCCUGGUUCUGAGAACCCCCACAAAAUGGAGAAGUUGGAGAAGGGAAUCAAGCCAGUGGAAGAGUGUGAAUCUCCCGAGGACGAUGUGGUUGACCCCCGGAUCCAGGGGGAGUUGGACAAGUUGAACCAGUCUACAGAGGACAUCAACCGCUGGGAGACAGAGCUGGAGGACUGUCGUCAGAGGUUCCGCGCGGUGCUGGUGGAAGCCACGGUGAAGCUGGAUGAGCAGGUGAAGAGGAUCGGCAGAGCUGUAGAAGACUCCAAACCUUACUGGGAGGCCAGGAGAGUGGCCAGACAGGCCCAGCUAGAGGCCCAGAGGGCGACAGGUGAGUUCCAGCGUGCGGUGGAGAUCCUGGGGGCGGCUAAAGAGACCAUUGCCCUGGCAGAGGAGAGACUCCUGGAGGAGGACAGCAGACAGUUUGACUCAGCCUGGCAGGAGAUGCUCAACCACGCCACCAACAGGGUGAUGGAGGCGGAGAUGACGAGGACUCGUAGCGAAUUAGAGCACAGAAAGACGGCGAACCACUACAACGCCUGCAUCAGUCAUAUGAGACAGCUCGAGAAGAAACUCAAACGCACCAUCAACAAGUCCAGGCCAUAUUUUGAACUGAAGGCGAAAUACUACCUAAAACUGGAGCAACUAAAACGUUGCGUAGACGAGCAUCAGGCGAAACUGACCGUCGCCAAGGCAGAAUACCGCACAGCGCUGCGUAACCUAGAGACCAUCUCAGAGGAGAUCCACGCCCGGCGACGCUCCAUCACCAUGGGAACCAGAGGGAGGGGCGUGGGGGCCGAGGGCGAGGGAGGCCAUGAGGACAUUACCAACUUCAAGAUGGAGUCAGACGGACUGUCCAUGGUGUCUGUGACGUUUGAUGAAGAAGGAGGAUCAGAGGAAGAGACAGAAUCACACUCCACUUCCGCUCCCCUCGACAUGACCUCCUCCUCCCAUCAUCCCUCCUCCUCCUUCUUCACCCCCUCUGCCUACCUCUCCUCUGCCCCCUCUCUCCUCUCCUCGUCCUGUCCCAGUACCAUGGAGGGACCCAGUCCUGGCGGCUGGCUAAGCCCAGAGUCGAGGUGUGGUUCAGGGCAUGACUGUACUCACCUCGGCCCCCGUUCCCAGUGCAGUGGGGCCUCCUCCCCAGACCCAGACUGCGACCAAGAGAGAGGGGACAGAGCAGAGGGAGCAGAGCAGAAGUCGGGUCUGGGUAAGCUGACCCUGACCAUAACACACCCACUGCAUCCCGGGAAGGAUGACCCCAAAGGUGACCCUAAGACGACCUCUAGCCCCACAACCCAUAGCCCCGCUCCCAUCAUCCUCCUGACCAACAGCGAAUAACGGACAGAAGACUUCACCUCUCACAUCGUAUCAUUGACUCAUGACCUUUAAACCUGAACUCUGAACUAUGAGGCUUUCUAUGGACUUAAGUGUUUAUGUUCACCCCAGAGGGAAAUCUGAAAUCAGCCCCUAUUCCAUACAUAGGAAAUAAGGAAUAGUGGAAAUCAGUGGAGGCUGAUGGGAGGAGCUAUAGGAGGAUGUGGUUCUCAUGUUUGAUACCGUUCCAUUUCAUUCCAGCCAUUACAAUGAGCCCAUCCUCCUAUAGCUCCUCCCAUCAGCCACCACUGGUGGAAAUAGGGUGCCAUUUUGGAUCUUGUCCAGAACUGAUGGGGAGGAAUCUGGAAGGGGAAGUCAACAUGAUGGAUACCUGGGGAUUGUGGGGGAGCAUAGCCAGCCCAGUCGAUGGUCAACUCCUUAAAAGAUUUGAAGGAAGGGUGUGAAAGAGGCUAUGGCUGCAUCCUGUCACAAAGGGUGCACUUCCACACAUCCUGUCAUGGACCUAAAAACAAUGGAAGGGAGUUUCCACUAUUGUUAAUUGUUGGAAUAACCCUGGAGAGAGAUGUUGACUGUUGACUUGUGGUCUCAGUGGGGAUGUGAGGCAGAGGUUAAUGUGGUCUCAGAGAGGAUGUGAGACAGAGGUUAAUGUGGUCUCAGAGGGGAUGUGAGACAGAGGUUAAUGUGGUCUCAGAGAGGAUGUGAGACAGAGGUUAAUGUGGUCUCAGAGGGGAUGUGAGGCAGAGGUUAAUGUGGUCUCAGUGAGGAUGUGAGACAGAGGUUAAUGUGGUCUCAGUGAGGAUGUGAGACAGAGGUUAAUGUGGUCCCAGUGAGGAUGUGAGGCAGAGGUUAAUGUGGUCUCAGUGAGGAUGUGAGACAGAGGUUAAUGUGGUCCCAGUGAGGAUGUGAGGCAGAGGUUAAUGUGGUCUCAGAGAGGAUGUGAGACAGAGGUUAAUGUGGUCUCAGUGAGGAUGUGAGACAGAGGUUAAUGUGGUCCCAGUGAGGAUGUGAGGCAGAGGUUAAUGUGGUCUCAGUGAGGAUUCCCCAGAGGGGAUGUGAGACAGAGGUUAAUGUGGUCUCAGUGAGGAUGUGAGACAGAGGUUAAUGUGGUCUCAGUGGGGAUGUGAGACAGAGGUUAAUGUGGUCUCAGUGAGGAUGUGAGACAGAGGUUAAUGUGGUCUCAGUGAGGAUGUGAGACAGAGGUUAAUGUGGUCCCAGUGAGGAUGUGAGGCAGAGGUUAAUGUGGUCUCAGUGAGGAUGUGAGACAGAGGUUAAUGUGGUCUCAGUGAGGAUGUGAAACAGAGGUUAAUGUGGUCUCAGUGGGGAUGUGAGACAGAGGUUAAUGUGGUCUCAGUGAGAAUGUGAGACAGA